CAGUGGGGAAUUUUGGACAAUGGGCGCAAGCCUGAUCCAGCAAUGCCGCGUGUGUGAAGAAGGCCUUCGGGUUGUAAAGCACUUUUGUCCGGAAAGAAAUCCUGUGGGCUAAUACCCUGCGGGGAUGACGGUACCGGAAGAAUAAGCACCGGCUAACUACGUGCCAGCAGCCGCGGUAAUACGUAGGGUGCGAGCGUUAAUCGGAAUUACUGGGCGUAAAGCGUGCGCAGGCGGUGAUGUAAGACCGAUGUGAAAUCCCCGGGCUCAACCUGGGAACUGCAUUGGUGACUGCAUUGCUCGAGUAUGGCAGAGGGGGGUGGAAUUCCACGUGUAGCAGUGAAAUGCGUAGAGAUGUGGAGGAACACCGAUGGCGAAGGCAGCCCCCUGGGCCAAUACUGACGCUCAUGCACGAAAGCGUGGGGAGCAAACAGGAUUAGA
RNAcentral lists this ribosomal RNA (438 nucleotides) under uncultured bacterium. Its description in RNAcentral is "bacterial SSU rRNA". It matches the Rfam family "Bacterial small subunit ribosomal RNA", at positions 352 to 782 of the family's 1533-position model. The record is from RNAcentral.